UAGGGAAUCUUCGGCAAUGGGGGCAACCCUGACCGAGCAACGCCGCGUGAGUGAAGAAGAUUUUCGGAUCGUAAAGCUCUGUUGUAAGAGAAGAACGUGUGUGAGAGUGGAAAGUUCACACAGUGACGGUAACUUACCAGAAAGGGACGGCUAACUACGUGCCUAG
This 166-nucleotide ribosomal RNA is filed under the name uncultured bacterium. Its description in RNAcentral is "partial 16S rRNA". It matches the Rfam family "Bacterial small subunit ribosomal RNA", at positions 355 to 512 of the family's 1533-position model. The record is from RNAcentral.